Molecule: long non-coding RNA, 909 nt
Organism: Megalobrama amblycephala (Wuchang bream)
Lineage: Eukaryota; Metazoa; Chordata; Actinopteri; Cypriniformes; Xenocyprididae
Exons: 3
Source: RefSeq, a predicted model, not a curated record
GACUAUAUGUGUAGUUUUGUUUAGUUCCUUAAUGCCCACUGUACGACGAGUGCACACGUCACGAUCCUGAAGCGCGAAUCUCAGACAUUUAAAUUUCAACGGUUAUUUUGGCGGUCCGUCUGAGGAGAUUCUGCCGAUUUAUCAAACUAAAAUAUUAUUUUAUUUCGUUCUGCUUUCAUAAAUUGAUUCGAUUGAUUCGAAUUCAAACUUCUAACUCAGUUGGAGGUAAAGCUGAUGGAGAGAGACCACGUUCCAGAACCCGCUGUCACAAGUGAUGAAGAACGUUUUGUUCCGGAUGGGAUUGGGAAUGCAGAGCGUCAGAAAGAUCGCAUAUGGUGAUGUGGAGAAGCUUGCGACGGUUACACUGAUGGAGAAGUUUGUUCCCACCGUCUCCGGCUCUCAGAAGCUCCUGGCAUCGAUGGUCUGCCUUCAGCUCACUCAGGUUCACGGAUUCACCGAUAUUGUGCUCAAACCAAAGUGAAAAACUUUCUAAGCUUUCGAAGCUUUCUAAUGCUCUCGCUUCUCUUGAAGAAUAUUUACUAGAUUGAAGGGUCAAAAUCACUAAAUAAUAAUUCCGUAUUUUUAUUCACAACUGAUGUAUGUCAACAAUAAAGAUCCUUCAUGUUUUUUUCAUAUCUGUCUGUCUGUUGUAAUAUUUAUGUGUGUAGAUGUACAUGAACUUAAAUCGUUCUCCAUUUACAUAUUUAUUUACAAGAAAUUUAGUGUACAAGUAAUGUCAGUUACAGAACUGAACACUUGUCUUUAUUCAGAUGCUGCAGUUAUUCCAAUAUGAACCGAGAAUUGCAGCAUUUGCAGUAAUUUCAAGUUAACAGCUGGAGAGAGAGAGAGAGAGAGAGAGAGACAUAAUGGACAAUGGAAAUUACCUUAACAGGUGUAGAAGUUUAGAAU